This 253-nucleotide ribosomal RNA is filed under the name uncultured bacterium. RNAcentral describes it as "partial 16S ribosomal RNA". It matches the Rfam family "Bacterial small subunit ribosomal RNA", at positions 524 to 776 of the family's 1533-position model. The record is from RNAcentral.
UACAGAGGUGGCAAGCGUUGUUCGGAAUUACUGGGCGUAAAGGGCGCGUAGGCGGCCUUCUAAGUCAGACGUGAAAUCCCCCGGCUUAACCUGGGAACCGCGUCUGAUACUGGGAGGCUUGAGUAUGGGAGAGGGAUGUAGAAUUCCAGGUGUAGCGGUGAAAUGCGUAGAUAUCUGGAGGAAUACCGGUGGCGAAGGCGGCAUCCUGGACCAUUACUGACGCUGAGGCGCGAAAGCUAGGGGAGCAAACGGG